This 298-nucleotide ribosomal RNA is filed under the name uncultured bacterium. RNAcentral's name for it is "partial 16S ribosomal RNA". It matches the Rfam family "Bacterial small subunit ribosomal RNA", at positions 475 to 776 of the family's 1533-position model. The record is from RNAcentral.
CUAUGCGCCUUGCCAGCCCGCUCAGGUGUGCCAGCAGCCGCGGUAAUACGUAGGGGCAAGCGUUAUCCGGAUUUACUGGGUGUAAAGGGAGCGUAGACGGCAGCGCAAGUCUGGAGUGAAAUCCCGGGGCUCAACCCCGGAACUGCUUUGGAAACUGCGCGGCUCGAGUGCAGGAGGGGCAGGCGAAAUUCCUAGUGUAGCGGUGAAAUGCGUAGAUAUUAGGAGGAACACCAGUGGCGAAGGCGGCCUGCUGGACUGUAACUGACGUUGAGGCUCGAAAGCGUGGGGAGCAAACAGG